RNAcentral lists this ribosomal RNA (738 nucleotides) under Triticum aestivum (bread wheat). Its description in RNAcentral is "partial small subunit ribosomal RNA". The record is from RNAcentral. Lineage: Eukaryota; Viridiplantae; Streptophyta; Magnoliopsida; Poales; Poaceae.
AUGCUGGGGCAUGGAAGGAUGCGGCGCGCGGCGGGUGCAUGCAUGCGUGCUCCGGUACGCAUAGGGCGUGUUUGGUUCCCUGCGCUGCAUGUGGUUCGCAUCCACCGUGCAAAUUUUCGUUGUUUGGUACCCUGCAUGGGCUUUUCAGCCUGGCCCAGUGGAUGCAAAAAGGGGCCUCUCAGCCAGGCUGAGGGAAACGCAGAGAUCGAGCGUAGCUCGCGUGCAGGCGCGUUCCUUCGCUUUUCUUCUCCCCUUUCGUUCUCUUCUGACCGAGCACUCUGCAGCCGCCCUCGUCAAGCCGCCGCCGUCCUCGACCAACAGCCACCGCUGCCCUUGUCAAGUCCCGCCGUCCUCCGCCGCCGCCAUCCUCGACCAAGCGUCGCCUCCCUCGUCGACCAAGCGCCGCUGUCGUCCUCGACCAACAGCCGCUGCUGCCCUCAUCAAGCCCCGCCGUCCUCCGCCGCUGCCGUCCUCGACCAAGCGUCGCCGCCCUCGUCAAGCCGCCGCACACCAGAUCUUGCUGCCUCGCGCCGCCACACACUGGAUCCUGCCGUCUGGAGCCGCUGCGCUUCGGAUGCGUCGUCCCGCGCUGCUGCAUCAUUGAGUGCGUCGCGAUUCCGUUCAAGUAUGCGAGAUAGUUACUGGAGCAUUGCAGUUUUGGCUAUCACUGGCUGCUCGAGCGCUGGAGAUUACGUGCUAGCCAUCUCCUCUGUCCCUGUAGUAGCAAACGUUGAUUAG